CCUACGGGAGGCUGCAGUCGAGAAUCAUUCACAAUGGGGGAAACCCUGAUGGUGCGACGCCGCGUGGGGGAAUGAAGGUCUUCGGAUUGUAAACCCCUGUCAUGUGGGAGCAAAUUAAAAAGAUAGUACCACAAGAGGAAGAGACGGCUAACUCUGUGCCAGCAGCCCCGGUAAUACAGAGGUCUCAAGCGUUGUUCGGAAUCACUGGGCGUAAGGCGUGCGUAGGCUGUUUCGUAAGUCGUGUGUGAAAGGCGCGGGCUCAACCCGCGGACGGCACAUGAUACUGCGAGACUAGAGUAAUGGAGGUGGAACCGGAAUUCUCGGUGUAGCAGUGAAAUGCGUAGAUAUCGAGAGGAACACUCGUGGCGAAGGCGGGUUCCUGGACAUUAACUGACGCUGAGGCACGAAGGCCAGGGGAGCGAAAGGGAUUAGAUACCCCGGUAGUC
RNAcentral lists this ribosomal RNA (446 nucleotides) under uncultured bacterium. Its description in RNAcentral is "partial 16S ribosomal RNA". It matches the Rfam family "Bacterial small subunit ribosomal RNA", at positions 338 to 795 of the family's 1533-position model. The record is from RNAcentral.